ACGAACGCUGGCGGCGUGCUUAACACAUGCAAGUCGAACGGAAAGGCCCUGCUUUUGUGGGGUGCUCGAGUGGCGAACGGGUGAGUAACACGUGAGUAACCUGCCCUUGACUUUGGGAUAACUUCAGGAAACUGGGGCUAAUACCGGAUAGGAGCUCCUGCUGCAUGGUGGGGGUUGGAAAGUUUCGGCGGUUGGGGAUGGACUCGCGGCUUAUCAGCUUGUUGGGGGGGUAGUGGCUUACCAAGGCUUUGCGGGGUAGCCGGCCUGAGAGGGUGACCGGCCACAUUGGGACUGGGGGACGGCCCAGACUCCUACGGGAGGCAGCAGUGGGGAAUAUUGCACAAUGGGCGGAAGCCUGAUGCAGCAACGCCGCGUGCGGGAUGACGGCCUGCGGGUUGUAAACCGCUUUCGCCUGUGACGAAGCGUGAGUGACGGUAAUGGGUAAAGAAGCACCGGCUAACUACGUG
This 467-nucleotide ribosomal RNA is filed under the name uncultured bacterium. RNAcentral's name for it is "partial 16S ribosomal RNA". It matches the Rfam family "Bacterial small subunit ribosomal RNA", at positions 29 to 507 of the family's 1533-position model. The record is from RNAcentral.